GUGGUGGGAACCGAUGCAGUGAGGUCAGCGUAUUAACAGGUGUGACGCAGGAAGGUAGCCGAGCCAGGCAAUGGAAUUGACCUGGUCCAAGGGUGUAGGAAGAGUGGUUGGCAAAUCCGCCGCUCAUAUGUUCUGAGACCUGAUAGGCGCCCACUUUGGUGGGUGAUUCGGUGAUCCUAUGCUGCCUAGAAAAGCAUCGGCGCGAGGUCCCAGUCCGCCCGUACCCCAAACCGACACAGGUGAUCAGGUAGAGAAUACUAAGGCGAUCGAGAGAAUCAUGGUUAAGGAACUCGGCAAAAUGCCCCCGUAACUUCGGAAGAAGGGGGGCCUGCCUCGUGAUCAGCUCUUGCAGUUGUGAGCGGGUGUGGGCCGCAGAGACCAGGGGGAAGCGACUGUUUACUAAAAACACAGGUCCGUGCGAAGUCGCAAGACGAUGUAUACGGACUGACUCCUGCCCGGUGCUGGAAGGUUAAGAGGACUGGUUAGCCGUAAGGCGAAGCUGAGAAUUUAAGCCCCAGUAAACGGCGGUGGUAACUAUAACCAUCCUAAGGUAGCGAAAUUCCUUGUCGGGUAAGUUCCGACCUGCACGAAUGGAGUAACGACUUCCCCGCUGUCUCAACCAUGAACUCGGCGAAAUUGCAGUACGAGUAAAGAUGCUCGUUACGCGCAGCAGGACGGAAAGACCCCGAGACCUUUACUAUAGUUUGGUAUUGGUGUUCGGUGCAGCUUGUGUAGGAUAGGUGGGAGACUGUGAAGCUUGGACGCUAGUUCAGGUGGAGUCAUCGUUGAAAUACCACUCUGGCUGUAUCGGUCACCUAACUUCGGACCAUGAUCUGGUUCAGGGACAGUGCCUGAUGGGUAGUUUAACUGGGGCGGUUGCCUCCUAAAAUGUAACGGAGGCGCCCAAAGGUUCCCUCAGCCUGGUUGGCAAUCAGGUGUCGAGUGUAAGUGCACAAGGGAGCUUGACUGUGAGAGUGACAGCUCGAGCAGGGACGAAAGUCGGGACUAGUGAUCCGGCGGCACCUCGUGGAAGGGCCGUCGCUCAACGGAUAAAAGGUACCUCGGGGAUAACAGGCUGAUCUUGCCCAAGAGUCCAUAUCGACGGCAUGGUUUGGCACCUCGAUGUCGGCUCGUCGCAUCCUGGGGCUGGAGUAGGUCCCAAGGGUUGGGCUGUUCGCCCAUUAAAGCGGUACGCGAGCUGGGUUUAGAACGUCGUGAGACAGUUCGGUCCCUAUCCGCUGCGCGCGUUGGAAAUUUGAGAAGGGCUGUCCUUAGUACGAGAGGACCGGGACGGACUAACCUCUGGUGUGUCAGUUGUACUGCCAAGUGCAUCGCUGAUUAGCUACGUUGGGAAGGGAUAACCGCUGAAAGCAUCUAAGCGGGAAGCCUGCUUCGAGAUGAGAUUUCCAUGCACCUUGAGUGUGUGAGGCCCCCAGCUAGACCACUGGGUUGAUAGGCAGGAUGUGGAAGCAAGGACUGAAGACUUGUGUAGCUGACCUGUACUAAUAGGCCGAUGACUUUCAACACACAA
RNAcentral lists this ribosomal RNA (1531 nucleotides) under Enterobacter hormaechei. RNAcentral describes it as "partial 23S ribosomal RNA". It matches the Rfam family "Bacterial large subunit ribosomal RNA", at positions 1415 to 2925 of the family's 2925-position model. The record is from RNAcentral. Lineage: Bacteria; Pseudomonadati; Pseudomonadota; Gammaproteobacteria; Enterobacterales; Enterobacteriaceae.